GUUGGUUUAGUGUCCUCUCUCUUUUACGUAGUAUUAAUCCAUCAUUUUCCCUUAGCUGCUGAGGUAAUUGUAGCGGCGGCGAACGAUGGAGCUGAAACUAUCAUUCCCUGCGGAUUCUCCGCCUUUGGCUGUCAUUGCGGCGGCGAAGAUCGCCGGAGUUCCAAUCUCUACUGAUCCAACUCUUACUACCGGUUCUACUCCUAUUAUGCAUAUAGAUAAUGGACUGAAGCUGCGGGGAAAUUUUGUUCUUCUGAGGUACAUUAGUCGGGUUGCUAAUAUACCCGAUCUGUACCAGCGUGAUGCCUGUGAGUCUAGCCAGAUAGAUGAAUGGCUAGAGUAUGCUCCUAUAUUUGCCUCUGGCUCUCAAUUUGAGGAAGCAUGUGGCUACGUGGAUGGAUAUCUUCUGCAGCACACAUUUCUUGUUGGACAUAGCCUCUCAAUUGCAGAUAUUGCAGUUUGGUCUGGCCUUGCAGGUACUGGGAAGAGAUGGGAAAGCCUACGAUCAUCUAAGAAGUACCAAAAUCUGGCAAGGUGGUUCAACUCAAUAUUAACUGAAUAUGGUGUUCUAAAUGAAGUCACAGCAACAUAUGUGGGAAAGAAAGGCCCGGGAAAGCCAACUGCAUCCAAAGUGAAAGAGCAACAAGGCUCAAAUGCUAAUCUGGCCAAAGUAAAUGGUGAUGCCGCUGACAAGGAAAAAGAAGGUAGGAAACCGACAUCUGAGGUAGAUCUUCCUGAGGCAGAAGUUGGAAAAGUGCGGUUGAGGUUUGCACCAGAACCCAGUGGUUAUCUCCAUAUUGGUCACUCAAAAGCAGCAUUACUGAACCAGUAUUUUGCUGAAAGAUAUCAAGGGGAAGUUAUUAUUCGAUUUGAUGAUACAAAUCCUGAUAAGGAAAGCAAUGAAUUUGUGGAUAAUCUACUGAAAGAUAUUGAAACUCUUGGAAUUAAGUAUAGGACUGUGACAUAUACAUCUGAUUACUUUCCACAAUUAAUGGAGAUGGCAGAGAAAUUGAUUCGUGAGGGUAAAGCCUAUGUGGAUGAUACCCCAAGGGAGCAAAUGCAAAAAGAAAGAAUGGAUGGAAUAGAAUCAAGGUGUAGGAACAAUAGUGUUGAGGAGAAUUUGAAAUUAUGGAAGGAGAUGAUUGCUGGUUCAGAGAGGGGAACAAUGUGUUGUGUUAGAGGGAAAUUGGAUAUGCAGGAUCCUAACAAGUCAGUUAGGGACCCAGUAUAUUACCGUUGCAAUCAGACUCCUCACCACAGGAUUGGUGCUAAAUAUAAAGUAUACCCUACUUAUGACUUUGCAUGCCCAUUUGUAGAUGCUUUUGAGGGUAUUACACAUGCACUUCGAUCUAGUGAAUAUCAUGAUAGGAAUGAUCAGUAUUACUGGAUUCAAACUGAUAUGGGUUUCAGUAAAGUACAUAUUUAUGAAUUUAGUCGGCUGAAUUUGGUCUAUACACUUCUUAGCAAGCGUAAGUUGCUGUGGUUUGUGCAAAAUGGACUGGUCGAAGGGUGGGAUGAUCCUCGUUUUCCGACUGUACAAGGAAUUGUGCGCAGAGGGCUGAAGAUUGAGGCGCUGAUACAGUUCAUUCUUGAACAAGGAGCAUCAAAGAAUCUCAAUCUUAUGGAGUGGGACAAGCUAUGGGCCACUAAUAAGAAGAUCGUUGAUCCUGUAUGUCCUAGGCAUACCGCUGUUAUUGAAGAAAGACGAGUCUUAUUGACUUUGAGUAAUGGACCAGAUGAUCCUUUUGUCCGAAUUGUACCCAAGCAUAAAAAGUAUGCAGGUGCUGGGGAAAAAGCAACAACUUACACCAAGAGAAUCUGGAUAGACUAUGAUGAUGCUGUAUCAAUCUCUGUCAACGAGGAAGUAACAUUGAUGGACUGGGGCAAUGCAAUAGUGAAAGAGAUACGGAAGGACCAAGAGGGUAAUGUUACUCAUCUGUCUGGGAUUCUGCAUCUUGAAGGGUCAGUUAAAACAACAAAGUUAAAGCUGACUUGGCUGCCAGAGAGUGAUGAACUUGUUAAACUCUCUGUGGUUGAUUUUGACUAUUUAAUUACAAAGAAGAAGCUCGAGGAAGACGAGAACUUUGUCGAUGUUGUUAAUCCUUGCACAAGGAAGGAGACUCCAGCGCUUGGUGAUUCUAACAUGAGGAAUCUGCAACGUGGAGACGUGUUGCAGCUGGAGAGGAAGGGCUACUUCAGAUGCGAUGUUCCCUUCCUACGACCUCAAAAACGCAUUGUUCUUUUUGCCAUCCCUGAUGGUAAACAGCAACCAGUGUUGCGGUUUGCAGUCCCAGAUGGCAAAACAAAAUGAAGACAUAUCAGAUUGCAACCAGUAUUCAUGCUUGAAGAAGAAUCACAGGGUGUGAUCUGAUUGUCUCCUUUUUUGAAACCUAAGUUAGGGCGAAAUGUGCAAGACCAUUCGUUUUUCCAAGAUCAUUAGGUGUAAUUUCCUAUUUGGAGUAUUAUUCUACUAUUCGACUGUAAUAUUUUCUUAAAACACUUAAAAACAAAUACUCAAAUGUUCAAAAAAAAAUGUAUUAACAUAUCACUGAUAUUUCAUAAGUGGAGUUUUGAGAGGUUGUUUUCAGGAGACACUUAAAUGCAGC
RNAcentral lists this unclassified non-coding RNA (2603 nucleotides) under Hevea brasiliensis (rubber tree). Lineage: Eukaryota; Viridiplantae; Streptophyta; Magnoliopsida; Malpighiales; Euphorbiaceae. The record is from RNAcentral.